Molecule: ribosomal RNA, 468 nt
Filed under: uncultured bacterium
Lineage: Bacteria
Description: partial 16S ribosomal RNA
Rfam family: Bacterial small subunit ribosomal RNA
Source: RNAcentral
GACGAACGCUGGCGGCGUGCUUAACACAUGCAAGUCGAACGGAAAGGCCCUGCUUUUGUGGGGUGCUCGAGUGGCGAACGGGUGAGUAACACGUGAGUAACCUGCCCUUGACUUUGGGAUAACUUCAGGAAACUGGGGCUAAUACCGGAUAGGAGCUCCUGCUGCAUGGUGGGGGUUGGAAAGUUUCGGCGGUUGGGGAUGGACUCGCGGCUUAUCAGCUUGUUGGUGGGGUAGUGGCUUACCAAGGCUUUGACGGGUAGCCGGCCUGAGAGGGUGACCGGCCACAUUGGGAAUGAGAGACGGCCCAGACUCCUACGGGAGGCAGAAGUGGGGAAUAUGGCACAAGGGGCGGAAGCCGGAUGCAGCAACGCCGCGUGCGGGAUGACGGCCUUCGGGUUGUAACCCGCUUUCGCCUGUGACGAAGCGUGAGUGACGGUAAUGGGUAAAGAAGCCCCGGCUAACUACGUG